AAUGGCCUAACGGCUGAACCAGCAAUUUGGCUGAACGGAAAAGCAUUUUGUUUUUUGAACAAAAUGUAGUUUUUUCUGACUAUUUUAGUCAGCUAUCUUGAAUAGAGCCUAUUGUUCUAUGGGUAGUAAAGUUAACACUUUUUUUGGAGUUUCGGCUCUUUUAGCGAUUUAUUCGCAUAAAGUUCUAUAUAGGAUACGGAUAAUGACCACUUUCUAUAUAAAAGUCUUGACUAAAACACGUGCCAGCAGUCGCGGUAACACGGUACAGACUAGUGUUAUUCAUCUUUAAUAGGUUUAAAGGGUACCUAGACGGCAGGAAAGGCCCCCAUAUUUGGAAAGGUACCUUUUUGCUAGAGUUUUAUGUGAGAGGGUUUUAGUACUAUCAGAGUAGAGAUGAAAUUCUUUGAUACUGUAGGGCACUGAUAACGGCGAAGGCAGACCUUUAUGUAAAAACUGACGUUGAGGGACGAAGGCUUGGGUAACAAACAGGAUUAGGUACCCUAAUAGUCCAGGCAGAGAAUGAUGAGUGUCAUAGAUUAGGAGUGUCUUUGGUCUAUAAAUGAAAGUGUAAACACUCCACCUUAAGAGUAAUGUGGCAACGCAGGAACUGAAAUCAUUAGACCGUUUUACUGAUACCAGUAGUGAAGUAUGUUGUUCAAUUCGAUGAUCCACGAAAAAUCUUACCACAAUUUGAAUAUUUUAGCACGGCAGAAGUGCUAUUAAUACAGGUGUUGCAUGGCUGUCUUCAGUUGAUGUCGUGAGGCGCAGGUUAGAUCCAUAAAUCAACGUGUAACCCUUACUUUAUUUUGUACAAAUAGAGUAGAAAUUCCGAGAUAUUGGAAGAUAAAAGGGACCAAGACAAGUCCUCAUGGCCCUAACAUUGU
RNAcentral lists this ribosomal RNA (884 nucleotides) under Tylophoron moderatum. Its description in RNAcentral is "SSU rRNA". It matches the Rfam family "Bacterial small subunit ribosomal RNA", at positions 370 to 1210 of the family's 1533-position model. Lineage: Eukaryota; Fungi; Ascomycota; Arthoniomycetes; Arthoniales; Arthoniaceae. The record is from RNAcentral.